RNAcentral lists this ribosomal RNA (475 nucleotides) under Enterobacter asburiae. RNAcentral describes it as "partial 23S ribosomal RNA". It matches the Rfam family "Bacterial large subunit ribosomal RNA", at positions 2259 to 2733 of the family's 2925-position model. Lineage: Bacteria; Pseudomonadati; Pseudomonadota; Gammaproteobacteria; Enterobacterales; Enterobacteriaceae. The record is from RNAcentral.
UGGUGGGUAGUUUGACUGGGGCGGUCUCCUCCCAAAGAGUAACGGAGGAGCACGAAGGUUAGCUAAUCCUGGUCGGACAUCAGGAGGUUAGUGCAAUGGCAUAAGCUAGCUUGACUGCGAGAGUGACGGCUCGAGCAGGUGCGAAAGCAGGUCAUAGUGAUCCGGUGGUUCUGAAUGGAAGGGCCAUCGCUCAACGGAUAAAAGGUACUCCGGGGAUAACAGGCUGAUACCGCCCAAGAGUUCAUAUCGACGGCGGUGUUUGGCACCUCGAUGUCGGCUCAUCACAUCCUGGGGCUGAAGUAGGUCCCAAGGGUAUGGCUGUUCGCCAUUUAAAGUGGUACGCGAGCUGGGUUUAGAACGUCGUGAGACAGUUCGGUCCCUAUCUGCCGUGGGCGCUGGAGAAUUGAGGGGGGCUGCUCCUAGUACGAGAGGACCGGAGUGGACGCAUCACUGGUGUUCGGGUUGUCAUGCCAAU